UACGGAAGGCAGCAGUGGGGAAUAUUGCACAAUGGGCGAAAGCCUGAUGCAGCUAUGCCGCGUGUAUGAAGAAGGCCUUAGGGUUGUAAAGUACUUUCAUCGGGGAGGAAAAACAAAACUAAUAAUUUUAUUUCUUGACGUUACCCGAAAAAGAAGCACCGGCUAACUCCGUGCCAGCAGCCGCGGUAAUACGGAGGGUGCUAGCGUUAAUCAGAAUUACUGGGCGUAAAGAGCACGUAGGUGGUUUUUUAAGUCAGAUGUGAAAUCCCCUGGGCUUAACCUAGGAACUGCAUUUUGAAACUGAAAUACUAGAGUAUCGUAGAGGGAGGUAGAAUUCUAGGUGUAGCGGUGAAAUGCGUAGAUAUCUGGAGGAAUACCUGUGGCGAAAGCGGCCUCCUAAACGAAUACUGACACUGAGGUGCGAAAGCGUGGGGAGCAAACAGGGAUUAGAUACC
RNAcentral lists this ribosomal RNA (455 nucleotides) under uncultured bacterium. RNAcentral's name for it is "bacterial SSU rRNA". It matches the Rfam family "Bacterial small subunit ribosomal RNA", at positions 340 to 786 of the family's 1533-position model. The record is from RNAcentral.